RNAcentral lists this ribosomal RNA (460 nucleotides) under uncultured bacterium. RNAcentral's name for it is "partial 16S ribosomal RNA". It matches the Rfam family "Bacterial small subunit ribosomal RNA", at positions 338 to 795 of the family's 1533-position model. The record is from RNAcentral.
CCUACGGGAGGCAGCAGUGAGGAAUAUUGGUCAAUGGACGAGAGUCUGAACCAGCCAAGUAGCGUGAAGGAUGAAUGCCCUAUGGGUUGUAAACUUCUUUUAUAUGGGAAUAAAAUGUUCCACGUGUGGGAUUUUGUAUGUACCAUAUGAAUACGGAUCGGCUAACUCCGUGCCAGCAGCCGCGGUAAUACGGAGGAUCCGAGCGUUAUCCGGAUUUAUUGGGUUUAAAGGGAGCGUAGGUGGAUUGUUAAGUCAGUUGUGAAAGUUUGCGGCUCAACCGUAAAAUUGCAGUUGAAACUGGCAGUCGUGAGUACAGUAGAGGUGGGCGGAAUUCGUGGUGUAGCGGUGAAAUGCUUAGAUAUCACGAAGAACUCCGAUUGCGAAGGCAGCUCACUGGACUGCAACUGACACUGAGGCUCGAAAGUGUGGGUAUCAAACAGGAUUAGAUACCCUUGUAGUC